This 423-nucleotide long non-coding RNA is filed under the name Serinus canaria (Common canary). RNAcentral describes it as "lncRNA (ENSSCAG00000003479.1)". Lineage: Eukaryota; Metazoa; Chordata; Aves; Passeriformes; Fringillidae. The record is from RNAcentral.
CUCUGUCUCCUGGCAAUGUCUUGCAGCAGGUGAGAUUCCAAAAGAAGCUGAAGGAAGAAAAUAAGCAGGCGAGUCAGUAGGCACAUGGACCCUUGGACACCAAGCUGGUAAAAGCACAGUGCACUUAGUGAUGUCUCUCUCCUCCUGCUCUCUCAGCCUGUGACUCUGACACAUCAGGACAGCAUCACUGGAGAGUAUUUUUCUCCUUUAUUGUGUUUAACAGUGGAUUGGUUGAUCCACAUCUUCUGGGGGUUACUGGAGGAGGCCUGAUAAUCACAGGAGCAAAUAGGCAACUAUUCCCAGUAGGACACUCAAGCAAACCGCAGUCUGGACAUGCUGCUCACCAGGGAAUUGCUCAGGAGCCUCAGGGGAGGAACCAAAACCAGGUUUCACCUGGACAAGUGACAAGCCUCUUCUGUGGAC